ACAUCUUGUUGAAUGUUUGGUUUGUUGUUAUGAUAGUCAAACUAUAAUGAAACUUAAUGUAUCACAAGAGACUGAAUUGCACUUCUUGUCUCGCCAUAUAUUUGAUUAAAAAGAAUAAAGAGAGAUACGUUUUAAGUUAAUAACAUGUACUUGUUGAUUUGCUUUGUUCUUUUUUUCUUGAAUACAAAAAGCUAAGCCCUUUUCAGUUUUGAUUAGCUUCCCCCCCCCCCCUCUCUUAUGUCACCCCAUAAAGACAUCGAAUUCGUUACAAACCUCACUCUAUCUAUAUUACCCCUGCCCCUCAAAUUUAACCUCUGAUUUCCCUCAGAUGUACUCCCAAAGCACUUAACCUUUUGUUACCAUGACCCAUAUGGCACUGGCCUCAUUGUUCUGACAUGAAUUUGUUGGACGCAUUCCCAACCAUAAAUGCCCCUCUUGCUCUCUCGUAUUAUGCUCCUUUCAGACUCUAUCUGUGAAAUGCUCUCCUUGUCUCCCUUGAAACUUCUAAUCUGAAAGUGUCCAGAUUAUUUGUUUUACUGUCUGUCGUGAAACAUGGUUAUUCGUUGGACUGAUUUGUAAAGUUGAUGAAUUUUGAAAUCUACUAGCCAACACUCAAGAUUCACUGGUGAUUGACCAAGUAUAGGAUCACAUAUGCGGGGAACAUCAACAGGGACUUUUACGAGGAUUAUUGUGGGCAUCUAUUUUAUCUCUCUGUAUAACCAGGGACACAAGAAAUUCAUUGCACCUGCAGGAUUUUCAUUUGGAGGCCCUUCUAGUCCUGUAAGAGAUCGAGAUUCCCCUUUCUUUUAGAAGAAAAGGAAGGCUCCUCAGGAACUAUAGUUCAAAUAGAGAGAUGCAAUGAUUAUCAGUAAAACUCAACUAUACGAGACAUAAAAUGAGAAUAUUUAUUUACUAUACCUUUCUAACAUUUUAAGCUUCUUAGGCCUACUGAGGACGUCUAAUUUCAUUGCCAAUGCUUCUAAAGCAUAGAGAUGCAGGCAGAACCUGUGUAAAUACCCUUUUUUUUUUUUUUUUUUUUUUUAAAGAUAAACUUCGAUAUAUUGUAUGAUAUGUGUCUUCAACGUUUCUUCCUCAGAGUCCUCCAUUUCUGGUAAAAGUUUUAGUUCCCAUUUUCUUUGGCCAAUUUUUAAUGUAAGCCUGCUACAUGAUUGAUAGGUAUUUGUAUAGAGGCUUGUCUACUGGAGAUCGACCCACAUGCGACCAAUGCCUGCGAAUUCAUGAGAAGCUGACUGAGAGAGCUGGUUUGGGAUGCAUAUUACGAUCCCUUGCUGACACAUCGAACACUGUGUGAUAACCAGAUUGUGCAACGAAUUCCCUGUUGUUUAUUAUCCCUGUAAACUUGUAUGCAAAGUUGAACAAAAACUAUCCAAGAAGAAUUUCUGAAAGUACUGGAUUUUUAUCUACAUUCGAAAAGCUUAUGUGUGGUUCUCAAACCUCUCUCUCUUAAUUUUGCCUCGAAGAGAUGCUAUCUGCCUAUCUUUAUGAUCACAUGUAAAGGUGGACAAUGGGUGGUUUGAUCCAAAUAGUUUGAGAACAUGACCAAACUGAUUCCAAAUUAGGAUUUAAUAUAUAGACUUGUUGGGUUGCAC
RNAcentral lists this long non-coding RNA (1610 nucleotides) under Olea europaea subsp. europaea. Lineage: Eukaryota; Viridiplantae; Streptophyta; Magnoliopsida; Lamiales; Oleaceae. The record is from RNAcentral.